GGAUAGAUGGCAGAGUGGUCGAUUGCUCCGGUCUUGAAAACCGGUGAAGAUGAAAGUCUUCCGGGGGUUCAAAUCCCUCUCUAUCCGCCA
This 90-nucleotide transfer RNA is filed under the name Rickettsiales bacterium. RNAcentral's name for it is "tRNA-Ser". It matches the Rfam family "tRNA". From Rfam's summary of the family: Transfer RNA (tRNA) molecules are approximately 80 nucleotides in length. The record is from RNAcentral. Lineage: Bacteria; Pseudomonadati; Pseudomonadota; Alphaproteobacteria; Rickettsiales.